CCUACGGGAGGCUGCAGUGGGGAAUAUUGGGCAAUGGGCGCAAGCCUGACCCAGCGACGCCGCGUGAGGGAAGACGGUCUGCGGAUGGGAAACCUCUGUCAGCAGGGAAGACAAAAGGACGGUACCUGCAGAAGAAGCCAUGGCUAACUACGUGCCAGCAGCCGCGGUAAUACGUAGUUGGCAAGCGUUAUCCGGAAUUACUGGGUGUAAAGGGUGUGUAGGCGGGUUUCCAAGUCAGAUGGGAAAAUUAUGGGCUCAACCCAUAACCUGCGUCUGAAACUCCAGAUCUUGAGAGUGGGAGAGGUAAGCGGAAUUCCCGUUGUAGCGGUGAAAUGCGUAGAUAUCGGGAGGAACACCAGUGGCGAAGGCGGUUUACUGGACCACAACUGACGCUGAGGCACGAAAGCGUGGGGAGCAAACAGGAUUAGAUACCCCUGUAGUC
This 442-nucleotide ribosomal RNA is filed under the name uncultured bacterium. RNAcentral's name for it is "partial 16S ribosomal RNA". It matches the Rfam family "Bacterial small subunit ribosomal RNA", at positions 338 to 795 of the family's 1533-position model. The record is from RNAcentral.